RNAcentral lists this ribosomal RNA (253 nucleotides) under uncultured bacterium. Its description in RNAcentral is "partial 16S ribosomal RNA". It matches the Rfam family "Bacterial small subunit ribosomal RNA", at positions 524 to 776 of the family's 1533-position model. The record is from RNAcentral.
GACGAACCGAGCGAACGUUAUUCGGAAUCACUGGGCUUAAAGGGCGCGUAGGCGGCAGUUCAAGUCCGGGGUGAAAUCCUCCAGCUCAACUGGAGAAGUGCCUUGGAUACUGGAUUGCUCGAGGGAGGUAGGGGUCGAGGGAACUUCUGGUGGAGCGGUGAAAUGCGUUGAUAUCAGAAGGAACGCCGGUGGCGAAAGCGCUCGACUGGACCUCUUCUGACGCUGAGGCGCGAAAGCUAGGGGAGCAAACGGG